UCCCAGAUGGCUCAGAUAGGAAAGAAUCUGCCUGCAGUGCAGAAGACCUAGGUUUGAUGCCUUGGUUGGGAA
This 72-nucleotide transfer RNA is filed under the name Ovis aries (sheep). It matches the Rfam family "tRNA". Rfam says of the family: Transfer RNA (tRNA) molecules are approximately 80 nucleotides in length. Their secondary structure includes four short double-helical elements and three loops (D, anti-codon, and T loops). The record is from Rfam by way of RNAcentral. Lineage: Eukaryota; Metazoa; Chordata; Mammalia; Artiodactyla; Bovidae.